This 201-nucleotide long non-coding RNA is filed under the name Spirodela polyrhiza (greater duckweed). RNAcentral's name for it is "long non-coding RNA (SPOL_LNC001120)". The record is from RNAcentral. Lineage: Eukaryota; Viridiplantae; Streptophyta; Magnoliopsida; Alismatales; Araceae.
UGGUCUAUUGCUGGUCUAUUAACUGGAAUUUUCAUUUUCCAAGAGUUUAUAACUGGAAUUUUCAUCUUAUUUUGAUCAUCAUAUAUUUCUAACUUUCGCAUCUCCGUUCACUGUUAUCGUCACUUUACCCGUUUAACGUGCAGGUUAUUGAAGGAAAACUGAAGAACAGGACGUGCCCUGCAGAAGACCAUGAAAUGAGCG